UACGUAGGUGGCAAGCGUUGUCCGGAUUUAUUGGGCGUAAAGCGAGCGCAGGCGGUUUCUUAAGUCUGAUGUGAAAGCCCCCGGCUCAACCGGGGAGGGUUAUUGGAAACUGGGAGACUUGAGUGCAGAAGAGGAGAGUGGAAUUCCAUGUGUAGCGGUGAAAUGCGUAGAUAUAUGGAGGAACACCAGUGGCGAAGGCGG
RNAcentral lists this ribosomal RNA (201 nucleotides) under Enterococcus faecium. RNAcentral's name for it is "partial 16S ribosomal RNA". It matches the Rfam family "Bacterial small subunit ribosomal RNA", at positions 524 to 724 of the family's 1533-position model. The record is from RNAcentral. Lineage: Bacteria; Bacillati; Bacillota; Bacilli; Lactobacillales; Enterococcaceae.